AUGAUCAAAAUUGCUAAAUUCAAAAUAACAUUUGUACCUGCGGAUGCGUGGAGACAGUUCUGUAAGACGACAGAGAGCAGCACGGAGGCUGAAAAAACAUCAAGAAGAAGCUUUAGUGUCCUUCAACAUCCAGUCUCAGUUCAGCUGAAAGAAGGAAAGAGGGUCAACCACAGGAAGAAAUGUGUCAGCUCUGCAGCGGAGAUGGUGACGAGAUCACCCGCCCGCCAGACCGACCGACCGCCUGCCUUACUCAUGUUGUGAGUGCACAAAUGUGUCUAGACCCUUUCAUUGUGUUUGCAAAUGUGUCGUCUUCUUACCGGGGGGAGGACACAAAUGACUGGGUGAGAGCAAGCUCAGCAGUUUUUAGAGCGCCAGCGUGAAAGAUGACGCCGUGGUUUUGGUUUUCGCCGGCCUGAAGCCCACAAAUCUAAAAGGGUUCUCCCUGGAUUUUAGGAUUUAGAACGGUUGGGGUAAAUAGGGGCGAGUUGGGUUAAAAAACAAGGUAAUAAAUGCAACAUGUGUCUGAGAUGCCUUGAUAUUUAAUAGGUGGAUCUAAAAAUGGGAAACUUGUGUCAUUGCUGCCUUUUUCUGGUUCGUGGGGUGAGUGUGUAAUGGUUUUCUGUGGUGUCGGGGCGUCAUUUUUGUUUGCAGAAAAUAGCGUCUUCUGAAGGUUUUUGUUGACGCGCUGCAUGGAUUCCUAACACUUUCAGAUGUGCAGCUUCUUCUGCGGUGGAGCUCGCUAAAAUCACAUAGCUUAACUUUGAGUACGUUGCACAAAUCUUUAAGAUGAUUUGUUUUGAGUGACUAUGACCACAACAACUACAGAAGUUAAAUGCUGUUCAUGUUACAUUUCCUUAAAAGCCUUUAGGACUACAGAACUUUUUUGUUUUGUUUUUGGCUAAAAGGCCAGUCCUAACCUGGUAUGACUACACUACCCAGAAGGCCUAUAAGGCUUUAAAGCAGGAGUGUCAAACUCAUUUUCACCGAGGGCCACAUCAGUAUAGUGGUUGUCGUUAAAGGGCCAGAUAUGACUUAAUGAAACUAAAUGUAAUGAAAAAUAAAUGUAAUUACUCCUUAAUGUUAAAUAACUCAUUAUUUAUGUAUUUUAACUUUUUAAAGUGACAAUUACAGUUACAUAGAAAAUAUAUGUUUGCUUGUUACUCUAGCAUGCAUCCUUUUAAAUCGGGUUAUAUGGACAGUGUUUAGGUCCUAUUGUAUAGUUACCAAAUCUGGAUAUGAAUAAAUACACACCAAUUUUUAUUUUUUAUUUUAAGAAAUUAAAAACCUUUAUGCUCUCGUGGGCCACAUAAAAUGACAUGGCGGGCCUUGAGUUUGACACGUGCUUUAGAGGCAGGCGAGUGGUUAGAAGGGUUGAUGGGACGUUUUUCUGAUGAACUGUAAUGUUCUUCAUAACUUUGUGUCCGAAUUCCUUCACUUCUUUCAAAAUCCAAUGCCCUAGAAAUUUCCCAGAAGUCUCUACAAAUACCAGAGUGCAUCAACACUCGCUAGAUUGGCAAAUAUAGACCACAAUGCAUUGGAUUUGAAUGAUUUUUUUUAUCAGAAGAACACUGUGGAUUCAUAUAAUAAUCUUCGUAAAAUGUUCCUAUUUAUCAGGUUUUUACUUCAGGAAAUCGGUGACAUAAAACAAAGUAGUGAGCAUCGUGUUCGAAUUGCUUUUAAAAUCCAAGGCACCGCAUAUAGUCCGCAUUGUAUAGUUUUUUUAGUAGUAGGGGAUUAGGGAGGGACUUCGGACACAAUAUUUGUAUAAGCAGUCUCUACGGCGAGACCAUCAUUAUUAAAACUUUAUCGACAAUAACGCUCAACAUUGUUCAUUCGUAACACAAGAAAAAUAAAACAAUAUUCUCUCUGUUUCGCUUCAUUAUGUUGAAGUACAGUAUGUAUCACUCCACCAGACUCCUGACUAGAUUACCCACAAUGCUCCAACAAUCAAGCUACGAAGUCGCUAAAGUUGUACUAAAACGUUUGGACAGAUUUGUGAGCGCCGUGUACGAUGUGCAAAAGGUUCCAGGUCAGUAAACACGAUCAGUUUUUAUAUAAAGGGUGCACUGUUGAUUUUUGAGGAAAUUAAAAGACUUUAAAUGCUUUAUGGUCUGAGAAACACGGCAAUCCAACCUUCUACAAAUGUAGAGCCUUUUGUGGUUUUUAGCUGAAGACGAUGCAAGAACAGAAACAAUAGAAUAUUUUUAGUCAAAUCACAAUUCAUUUUAAACAAAACACGGCUAAAAUUAAAAGUUAAUAAGUUUUAUUAUGUU
RNAcentral lists this long non-coding RNA (2273 nucleotides) under Oryzias sinensis (Chinese medaka). RNAcentral describes it as "lncRNA (ENSOSIG00000023323.1)". The record is from RNAcentral. Lineage: Eukaryota; Metazoa; Chordata; Actinopteri; Beloniformes; Adrianichthyidae.